This is a long non-coding RNA of Neopsephotus bourkii (Bourke's parrot), 590 nucleotides long. RefSeq lists it as uncharacterized. The record is from RefSeq and is a predicted model, not a curated record. Lineage: Eukaryota; Metazoa; Chordata; Aves; Psittaciformes; Psittacidae. The transcript is spliced from 2 exons.
GAGGUGAGAGAAAAACAACAGGCUGUUACUUGCUCACCUGAAUACGAGGAUUUCUUCAUGCCGUCGCUUCGAGCUGUGACAUAGGAGCUGGGUGCUUUUGACAUCAUUAGGCACAAUUUACGGAGGAGAAACAAUAGCACAAUGACUUGCCCCACCUUGUACCCCAAGGGCAAAGUCAAGGGUAGAACCCACUCCCAAACACUAACCCCACUGCUCUGCUUUUGCCUGCAUCUUUCUGAUGGACACAGCUACUCUUAAUACUCAACAUUCACAGGGCUAUACCUCAUAGGAGAUCAAAAUACAAUUUUCUGUUCUUCUCACAUAUGGGUAUAUGUGCACAUGUCCAUGAUUAAGUGUGUGGUUACAUGUGCACAUGUGUGCAAUUAAGUGUACGGCACCACAUGUGUGUGUGAUUAUGUGUGCAAGGUGUACUGUGCCUUCAUGGGGCUGCUGGUGAGCAGCAUUUUCAGAGCCAUGGCUGGGGUACAGCCAUCUGAUCAGCUUGACUGCACAAAUACAAACAGCAAAUUGUGGAGCAGGCUUUUCUACUGCAGGGCCAAACAAACACGAUGAGACACAAAUUGGCUGAA